GGGGAAUAUUGGACAAUGGGCGAAAGCCUGAUCCAGCCAUGCCGCGUGAGUGAUGAAGGCCUUAGGGUUGUAAAGCUCUUUCAGUAGGGAAGAUAAUGACGGUACCUACAGAAGAAGCCCCGGCUAACUUCGUGCCAGCAGCCGCGGUAAUACGAAGGGGGCUAGCGUUGUUCGGAUUUACUGGGCGUAAAGCGCACGUAGGCGGAUUGGUCAGUUAGGGGUGAAAUCCCAGAGCUCAACUCUGGAACUGCCCUUAAUACUGCCAAUCUAGAGUCCGGAAGAGGUGAGUGGAACUCCUAGUGUAGAGGUGGAAUUCGUAGAUAUUAGGAAGAACACCAGUGGCGAAGGCGGCUCACUGGUCCGGUACUGACGCUGAGGUGCGAAAGCGUGGGGAGCAAAC
RNAcentral lists this ribosomal RNA (400 nucleotides) under uncultured bacterium. Its description in RNAcentral is "bacterial SSU rRNA". It matches the Rfam family "Bacterial small subunit ribosomal RNA", at positions 356 to 773 of the family's 1533-position model. The record is from RNAcentral.